AUGGCGGCGUACGGCGUAGAGGAUGGUGAGGAUCUGGAACUUGGAGGUGACGAGCCAGGCGGCGAGGCCGAGGCUGCGGUGGGCGCAGAGCCCGACGGCGGCCACCUGGAGGAAGCUGAAGGUGGACAUGAAGGCGUUGCAGGAGUAGACGUAGGGGUACUUGCGGGCGAGCCGGCCGUGCAGCAGGAACCAGCAGGAGAGGCACACGCAGUUGCCCAGGAUCGCCACCGUGCCCAGCGUCCACCUCUUGCCGGCGGCAGGGUCGGCGCCCACCGGCGACGGCGCGGAGUAGUGCAGCUGGCCGUGGUGGGCGUGGGUGAGGGGCACGCCGCGGUAGAAGGUGAGCACCAUGGCGCCCGCGAGCGACACCAGCGUGCCCGCGAGCUUGGCGACGCCCGUGGCGGUCCUGAGCUUCAGGGACUCGGACCGCGUGGCGGCGGCGAGGAGGAAGGUGAGGACCGGCGCCACGUUGGAGAAGGCCGUGACGAAGGUGGCCGUGGUGUAGCGCAGCGCCACGAAGAUCAUGUACUGCCGCAGCGCCGCCCCCAGCGCCGCGCUGGCGAAGAGGUAGGCGAAGAUCUCCAGCGUCAUCCUCGGCCGCGCCUUGCCCUCCCGGAAGUAGGCGAUGGGGCCGAGGAAGAUGGCGGCCGUGAGCUGCUGCAGCGUCACGAGCACCAGCGGGUCCAGCCCGCCGUUCAUGGCCACCUUGACGAGCGACACCAUGACCGCCGCGAUCGCGUUGAGGAACACCAUCACCACCACCGGCCACACCCCGCCGCCGCCGCUCCCCCCUCCCAUCGCUCCGCCACCAACGCGCGCAGGCAGGCGAUCGAGCCGGUGGAGAGGAAGAUAUGCGGCGAGCGGGCGGGCGAGCAGGUUGGGUCGGUGUCAGGCGGGCUUUAUAGCCGUGAGAGAGGGAGGAAGGAGAGGGCGAGUGGGCAGGGAUUGUCCAUGGGAGGGAGGGAAGAUGAUGCAAGAAAGAAGAGGGAGAAAGCGAGGGAAGGGAGGGAGGGGGAAUCGUUUCAGGUACGGCGCGCGGCUUUUGGUUUCGCCACCACCACCACACCGCCGGGAAAGGUGACCGGACCAGACACCGGAGCAGAGGCCAGAUCGGUUACAACAGACGGGAACUGUGUGGUGUGCUGUGGGUAG
Molecule: ribosomal RNA, 1152 nt
Filed under: Triticum aestivum (bread wheat)
Lineage: Eukaryota; Viridiplantae; Streptophyta; Magnoliopsida; Poales; Poaceae
Description: partial small subunit ribosomal RNA
Source: RNAcentral